GGGUUGUGAGGUUAAGCGACUAAGCGUACACGGUGGAUGCCCUGGCAGUCAGAGGCGAUGAAGGACGUGCUAAUCUGCGAUAAGCGUCGGUGAGGUGAUAUGAACCGUUAUAACCGGCGAUUUCCGAAUGGGGAAACCCAGUGUGUUUCGACACACUAUCAUUAACUGAAUCCAUAGGUUAAUGAGGCGAACCGGGGGAACUGAAACAUCUAAGUACCCCGAGGAAAAGAAAUCAACCGAGAUUCCCCCAGUAGCGGCGAGCGAACGGGGAGGAGCCCAGAGCCUGAAUCAGUGUGUGUGUUAGUGGAAGCGUCUGGAAAGGCGCGCGAUACAGGGUGACAGCCCCGUACACAAAAAUGCACAUAUUGUGAGCUCGAUGAGUAGGGCGGGACACGUGGUAUCCUGUCUGAAUAUGGGGGGACCAUCCUCCAAGGCUAAAUACUCCUGACUGACCGAUAGUGAACCAGUACCGUGAGGGAAAGGCGAAAAGAACCCCGGCGAGGGGAGUGAAAAAGAACCUGAAACCGUGUACGUACAAGCAGUGGGAGCCUCUUAAUGGGGUGACUGCGUACCUUUUGUAUAAUGGGUCAGCGACUUAUAUUCUGUAGCAAGGUUAACCGAAUAGGGGAGCCGAAGGGAAACCGAGUCUUAACUGGGCGUUAAGUUGCAGGGUAUAGACCCGAAACCCGGUGAUCUAGCCAUGGGCAGGUUGAAGGUUGGGUAACACUAACUGGAGGACCGAACCGACUAAUGUUGAAAAAUUAGCGGAUGACUUGUGGCUGGGGGUGAAAGGCCAAUCAAACCGGGAGAUAGCUGGUUCUCCCCGAAAGCUAUUUAGGUAGCGCCUCGUGAAUUCAUCUCCGGGGGUAGAGCACUGUUUCGGCAAGGGGGUCAUCCCGACUUACCAACCCGAUGCAAACUGCGAAUACCGGAGAAUGUUAUCACGGGAGACACACGGCGGGUGCUAACGUCCGUCGUGAAGAGGGAAACAACCCAGACCGCCAGCUAAGGUCCCAAAGUCAUGGUUAAGUGGGAAACGAUGUGGGAAGGCCCAGACAGCCAGGAUGUUGGCUUAGAAGCAGCCAUCAUUUAAAGAAAGCGUAAUAGCUCACUGGUCGAGUCGGCCUGCGCGGAAGAUGUAACGGGGCUAAACCAUGCACCGAAGCUGCGGCAGCGACGCUUAUGCGUUGUUGGGUAGGGGAGCGUUCUGUAAGCCUGUGAAGGUGUGCUGUGAGGCAUGCUGGAGGUAUCAGAAGUGCGAAUGCUGACAUAAGUAACGAUAAAGCGGGUGAAAAGCCCGCUCGCCGGAAGACCAAGGGUUCCUGUCCAACGUUAAUCGGGGCAGGGUGAGUCGACCCCUAAGGCGAGGCCGAAAGGCGUAGUCGAUGGGAAACAGGUUAAUAUUCCUGUACUUGGUGUUACUGCGAAGGGGGGACGGAGAAGGCUAUGUUGGCCGGGCGACGGUUGUCCCGGUUUAAGCGUGUAGGCUGGUUUUCCAGGCAAAUCCGGAAAACCAAGGCUGAGGCGUGAUGACGAGGCACUACGGUGCUGAAGCAACAAAUGCCCUGCUUCCAGGAAAAGCCUCUAAGCAUCAGGUAACAUCAAAUCGUACCCCAAACCGACACAGGUGGUCAGGUAGAGAAUACCAAGGCGCUUGAGAGAACUCGGGUGAAGGAACUAGGCAAAAUGGUGCCGUAACUUCGGGAGAAGGCACGCUGAUAUGUAGGUGAAGCGACUAGCUCGUGGAGCUGAAAUCAGUCGAAGAUACCAGCUGGCUGCAACUGUUUAUUAAAAACACAGCACUGUGCAAACACGAAAGUGGACGUAUACGGUGUGACGCCUGCCCGGUGCCGGAAG
This 1857-nucleotide ribosomal RNA is filed under the name Escherichia coli. RNAcentral describes it as "partial 23S ribosomal RNA". It matches the Rfam family "Bacterial large subunit ribosomal RNA", at positions 1 to 1875 of the family's 2925-position model. Lineage: Bacteria; Pseudomonadati; Pseudomonadota; Gammaproteobacteria; Enterobacterales; Enterobacteriaceae. The record is from RNAcentral.